This is a small RNA of 53 nucleotides. It matches the Rfam family "Anti stx2 sRNA". From Rfam's summary of the family: Increases expression of the ChuS heme oxygenase via destabilisation of FnrS sRNA. The record is from Rfam.
CGAUUAUUAAAACGAGUAUCUCAUGCAAUUGCCCGAACCCACUCGGGCUUUUU